This 232-nucleotide ribosomal RNA is filed under the name uncultured bacterium. RNAcentral's name for it is "partial 16S ribosomal RNA". It matches the Rfam family "Bacterial small subunit ribosomal RNA", at positions 99 to 334 of the family's 1533-position model. The record is from RNAcentral.
CGGACGGGUGAGUAAUGUCUGGGAAACUGCCUGAUGGAGGGGGAUAACUACUGGAAACGGUAGCUAAUACCGCAUAACGUCACAAGACCAAAGAGGGGGACCUUCGGGCCUCUUGCCAUCGGAUGUGCCCAGAUGGGAUUAGCUAGUAGGUGGGGUAAAGGCUCACCUAGGCGACGAUCCCUAGCUGGUCUGAGAGGAUGACCAGCCACACUGGAACUGAGACACGGUCCAG